UUUUGAAAGCUAACCUGGCAGGACCCAUUUAACUGUAGGUACCACAAAUAGAAAUCUAUCUAACCUGCAGGUACUUGGUCUAUCUGACCACACUAAGGAAUGCUGAAGCAGAAGACUUCAGUCAAGAAGAUUCAACCAGCAGAAGGCUUAAAACAUUUCAGAAAUGAUUCUGACAAAAUCCUUAUUUGUCAAAGCCUGUCCUUGAAGACUUGAUGAGCUAACAUGAAUAAAGCUCACAUGGCUGCUGAUAUCCAUAUGGAAGCAUACCAUUCACUCUAAGAUAAAAAGGGUCUUAUAGGCUCAAUCACUCAAAGCAUAUCAAAUGAGAAGAAUCCUCAAGGAAGUUCACAUCAGAGGAUCAUCGAGCAUUAAUCAUGAGGAACUCAUUACGGAAGAAGAGCUCCACAAGUACAAACUGACAGGGAAGACUACAUUCAUAGUGCUGUCAAAUGAUCGUAGAGUGAUCAGUCCUGAAGAUAUCCAUGUCUAUGAUAUAAGGAGAUUUAAUUGAUAGUGAUGAUUCUAGUCAAAAGAAGAUAUGCAAGGCUGCCUUCUGAUACACAUGAAGAAGAAGAACUCACAUCUCUCUAAAAAGAUAGUAUCAACCAUGGGGGAGCAGUGACCUACUAACAAAACAACAUCACUAAAAAUAUCAAAAAUAUACUAUGAAGCAAUGUACCAGUUAUAGAGUCCCAAAACUUUGUGGUUAACGAACCAAAUGAAGAUCCAUAGUCAGUAAGAACGUCUCAAAACGUACUACUGAUAACCUUGUAAAAGCUGAUCGUAUUGUAAAAGCUGAAGGACACCACGAUUACAGCCAACGCAAAUGUCUAAUACCGAUAGAGGAACUCCCAGUAGAAAAGGUCAAACGAGAUAUCAAUGCAAAUCACUUCUAAAAAGUUUUUCAUCUGGAAAAUGCCUCAGGGUCAAACCUGGCCCUUAGUUCACUCUAAGAGGUUGGCCCUUCUUGAGCUACCUUAACCCAGAAGGAAUGCUUAGUCAAGUUCAUCUGAAGGACCAAGAUAGACAACGAUCGUAGAGUAAAGUCUGGAGUAAUCUCAACGAUCGUAGUGCAACUUCAAUGAUCAUAGAAGUAAACUCGACGAUCGCAGUCUUCCCAGAGGAUACACUAGCUCAUGAGGAGCUCGAAAGAACUAGACAAAUGCCCAACUAUUCAGAUCAUGAGGAGCUAAGUUUGAAUACCGAUUGGAAAGAUGUUCUGCAGACUCACCUCAAAAGUUAAGUGCCCAAACUUUUAUAAAAUACAUCAAUGGUUAAGCUAUACAGUUUAAAAAUGAGGAUUACUGUCAAAACAUCCACUGAAGCAUCUCUCAGAAGACGAUCGUUGAGUCGAUAAAGAAAAACGUAGAGUCUAUAGCUACCUCACCAAGCUAAUCUACUUACUGAGAAAUGUCAAUAGUCAAUCCACGUCAGUAAAAUGCCUAUUCUCUUAAAAGGAACAUCAAACUGAAAAGUUUAUGGAGAGUUACAGUUUCUUACUGGGCAUCGUGCAACCAAUGAAUGGUUGACACAUCACAACUUAUGCAGAGUCAGAAGAAACUGUCAUAAAGACAAAUUCAAAUCUCAAAACAUUUAUCAGAAGCUAUUGAACCUCUCUCCCUCUCUUUUUCAAACCCUAGAAUCCUCUUCAUAACCUAAAUCCAUCAAACCUCUAGAUUCGCCCAAAUUGCAUUCAACUAUCUCUCAUAAGAGGUCUGAAACCAAAUACCCAUAUAUUUUGAACCCUCAUAAUGGAAGAAUGGCGAGUUAUAACUGGAAUCUAACUCGGCUUCAAGAAGUUUUAAAGAUUAGAAAAGAAGUUCAAGGACAUACUUGAGCUCGUAAAGAAAGCUGGGUUCUAUGAGUGCUUGGAGGCCGUCACUCUAGUCUAUACAGAGUUAGUGAAGCAGUUCUACUCCAAUGCAUCAAUAGAUUCUGGGCUUCUGUCCACGAAGGUUAAAGGAGCAAGUUUGAAGAUAAAGGCAUCAGACAUCAAUCAAUGUCUAGGGUUUCCCAACCAAGGUCUGAUAAACCUCGACGAAGUUGACAUUGAAGAAGGCAAGAGGUUAAUGUAUUACAAGAGGAACGUAAAUCUGAAGGAUAUGAAGAAAAAGGAGUUUCCUGAAGAAUUUGAAUUUUUGGCAGAGAUUAUAGGGAAAUGUAUCUUGUGCAAAUACACCGCACAUGAUACUUUAAAUGAUCUAUAACUCAGAGUCAUGAUUGCAAUCGUCAUGAAGCAACAGAUAAACUUUGGAGCCCUACUAAUUGAUUGGCUGAUCAAAUGGGUGAAAAAAGCUGAGAUGAAGAAGUCUACAGAUAGACCCCUUAUAAAGGUUUUUCAUGGAAGACUCUUGAGUAUAGUGUUAAAGAAAAAACUGAGAAGUAAGAUCAAGGAUGAUGACGGAGAACCACUGAAUGUCCAUAAAGUGAUGUCCCCACAGCUGUUUAUAAACUGGAAGAAAAAUCCCAAGGAAAAUAAGUGGCUAAUAACAACUGGGAGCAGCAGCAAGGUCUCUGCAAAGAAGAGGAAGGCACAAGUGGUGGAAAGUUCUUAUUCUGAUGACUCUGUAUCAGUAGCAGUCACACCAUCAAAGAAGAAGCCUAAGGGUGUGAAGAAUAUAGAGGUUCCACCAAGUCAUCUCUCCACUGAUAAGAAAAGGCAUGGAGCAGAAAUACAACAAGUAUCAACUACAGAAACCUCAAAAAGAAUAAGGAGUAACAGAUUACUCUUUGGGCCAUCCAAAGAGAAAGCAAAGGUGAUGAAGGAUUCAGCCCCAGUUCCCCAAGAAAGUCCAUCUAAAAAAGAAGAGGAUGUAGAGUCAGGAGAUGGGAAGAGAACUGAAAACUCUAAGAUUGAACCCUCGAAGAGCAAGUCCAACAAUAAAGAAAAAGCUGAGUCUAUGAAAGAAAUAGCCAACUCUGAUGGUGAAGAAGAAUAUGCAAGCCCUAUGGCUAACUCUCAGAGCAUCCACUCUGAUGAUGAAGAAAGGUUGCAAGUUUACACAACUGCAUCUUCUAAUGCAAAUGCUCCAACAAGCUCAUGUGAUGAUGUUGAGUCCAAAGAAGAAUGACCUGCCCCUAGUGUUGCUGAACAUUAAGGAAUCUUGUUUGAUGAUUCAAAGGCUUCAGAUUCUGAAGAAGAAGAAAAGUUUAACUCUCAUAUAGCUGAACCUCCAAGAAGAAGAAAGAGCAACAGACUACUUGCUAAAUCUAUCUCAAAGAAGCAAGGUGAACACUCUACUGCAAUCAUUGAGGUGAGUGAUGAUAAAUCUAAAUCCAAGGAAGAAGAGGUUGAAGAAGGUACUAGUGAUGAAAAUUAGCAAGAAGAAUUCACUGAUGAAUCUGAUGAAAAAAGUCAGCAUGAUUCAAGCUCAGAAGGUGAAAAAAUGGAGAAAGAUUCUAGUUCUGCAAAUCAGGAAUCAUAGGAACCAGCAUACUAUCUUGUCCUCUCUCCAGUAAGAAUCAGCAGAAGAAUAGUGGUGGAAGUUUCUGAUGAACCACUAUAAGUACCAGCAGAAAGAUGGGUAAGCUAUGGCAAUGAACAUCUCAAGGCUGUGAGGAUGAUUGCAUAUGAAGUAUUUAAAAAUUUGAACAACAUGGAGUUAGACUGCACAACUAUCCUCUACAAUCCUGAUGACCUUCUGAUGAGAUGGUUUUUCCACUGGAUGCCCUGGUUAAAGGCAUAUACUGAAAAGGAUGGAAGUUACUUCAGUUGGUGCUACUCUCAGUUUCCAAGCCUGGAGCUGGUGUCACAGAACUUCCCAAGGGUAAAGAAGUUUACAACCAUAAUGAUCAAAGACCAGCCUCACAACAAAGUCUACCGACAUACUGGAAAUCACUACAUUCCCUAUGAUCGUAGAGUGGGUUCUGAUGGCAGAAGGAUCAUGGCCAAGUUGAUGAUCGUAGAGUCCCUUCAUUCUACCAUUGAAAAUGAUCAAGUUCAGUUUGAGAAGCUUUCCUCUACCCAAGCACAAUUGUUUGAUAUUCCUUCAUCCUCCAACAGUGAGUGGUUGUGACACCCCCAAAUCCUGGUACUUUAUUUCCUCAAGAUUUGGUGUUCACUUAAUCAAAACGUUCAUUUCUAACUACCCAAUCAUAAUAAAACUGAAUACAUAAAAACCUUCCCUAUUAAAGGGUUACAUAAUAAAAAUCUCCCAGGUUAUCUAACCUUUAAUCAUCAUUCAAAUGCGGAAAUCAUUACAUAACUUCUUUAGAAUAAAAUCUAAGAUCAACAUAAUAAAAGUCUAACAUCUUAAUCAAAGUAAAAAUUACAAGUCUUCAUCACUUGUAUAUUUUUCCCUUUCCUUUGCUAGUCGAAGGUUCACCUACCUUCUCUUCUUUAACUGCAAUGAGUUUAUAAAUAUGCAAGAGUGAGCAAAACAAUUGCUCACUGGAUAUAAUAUGGAAUCAACAAGAGUAUAACAAUAAUAACUAUCAAAAUAGGCUCAUCAAAAGUGAAUAGUACUCUAUCAAUAAUAAUCAGAAACUGAAAUCCCAAAAUAUGGCAAUAUACAUCACUGAGGGUCGUAAGACCAUGAACUACGUCCACAGUUGCAAGUAAUCUUUCAACUCCAACUUUAACAGUCAUAAGACUAUAAGGACCUCGUACUUAGGGGGAUCAGCCCUUCGUACAAUGUAUUGUGCACAAAAAUUUUAAUGUUAUGCGUAAGUUAACCCCUAAUUAUAACAAUAGGGUUGUUCAUCUCAGUAUUUAGAGUACAAGUCCGCACCAAAGGAAGUUUGGUUUGGAUAAGCUUUCAAGGUAAUUUGGAAUUCAACGAACAUCAACUAAGGAUUAGUUGAAUAAAACCAAUAACAUUAUACUAUAGAAUAAUCAUGAUUGAAUCAAUCAUAGUAAACUAAAGUCAUGCUUUAGGAAUAAUCUAAUAGCAUACAAUUUGAAUAACUAUAAUACACCUUGCUUGAACCAUACUAAGCCAAGGUUAAUUAAAAUUGAAUACUAAGCAAGCAUAGCAAUUUGAACGAUAAAAAUGUUCGACAUUAGUAUAUAUAGUUGUGCAUGCUAAACAACAAGUUAAAUACAAGAAUAACUUGUUCGACAUCAAACCAAAGUUUAGACAGCUUGCAUCAUUAUAAGGUAAUCGAAUUGGAAAUAAUAAUUAGUUCAACAAGAUAAAGGAUAAGAAAACUUGCCUUGCUCGUAGGCCUGAAUCAAUUCGAAUCACAAUACCCUAUAUACAUAUAUAUAUAUAUAUAUAUACGUCAUCAUGACAUAGUUAGUCACUACCACCUUACAACUUAACUAACUACAUUCAUCAUGUAUGUUUGAUUAUUUAAUCACAUAAUUAAGUUAUAACACAAGUUAAUCUUUAAUACAUAAUUAUUCAUAGUAUAUAAAUACUAAAAUCAACAUUUUACAGUCCUACUAUCAUCACAUAACUUUUCUUAAAAUUUCAUGUACAAAAAGUACAUUGUCAUACCAUUCUGCUAACUCGCGCUGCGGCGCCACAGUUUACACUGUGGUUGGCGCUGCGGCGCUGAGCUGGCGCUGCGGCGCGAAUCACAAGCCAAAGAUUGGCGCUGCGGUGUGGCGCCGGCACUGCGGCGCGAGAUUAAUACUGCUGGGCCGCGCUGCGGCGCCAAACUCCAGAAUCUGGUGACCAAGCUCGGCAACAGUAUGAACAAAAGUCAAAUUGGCCUAAAAGCUCCAAUCUAAUAAACUAAUUAACAUGUAAUACGCAUAUAGACUUCAUAUAAACAUAUUGUGAAGACUUCUAACAUGAUUCUACCCAUAAAAUAACAUAAACAUCAAAUUUAUAACACCCAAUUUUAAUGUUUUUGGCAAAUACUCCAUAUUUGAUGUUUUCAAUGAAAAUCAACACUAUAAUUUUGUUUUUCAACCAAAACAGUUAAUUCAAAAUACCAUGGUUAUGAUUAUACAUACUCUAUCAAAUUCAAUAGUCAAUUUAUAUAUAUUAACAAUUAAUCAAACCUUAAUUUUAUUUUAAACUAAGUCAUACUCAUAUAUUUUUCAUAUGAACACUCUGUAAUAUAUCUUUCUUCACAAAUUGUAUACAUACAUCAAUUAAUUGACUAUACUCAUAUAUAAACUAAUGAAAAUAGUUUCACAACACUAAUUUAUCAUAUAAAGCCAUAUAUAACAAACAAUUUAUCAUUCAUGAAGAUUUUUACAAAGAACUUUUUUGAAGAGGAAAACUAACUAUAAAAGGAUUAAGAUCCUACCUUUGAUUAAUAAGAUGAUAGUUAUCUUGGAUUCUCAAACUUCUUUUCUCAAUUUCUUUCUCAAAUCCUCUCUAGAAUCCCUCAAGUUCUCUAUCUUUUCUUCUUUUCUUUCUUCUUCUUCUUCUGAGUUUCUCUUCUCCCAACUCUAGUUUUCGUAUUAUCAUAUAACGUAUAAUAAUAAUAAUAUAGAUAUUAAGUAUAGGAUUUUAACUGACAUUAGUUAUAAAAUUUUGAAAAUUAAAAACCAUAAGGCUUGUUUGGCUAGUUAACUAAAAAUUAACCCAUUAACCCUUACAGCUUGUUUGGUAAACCUAAUUAAAACAAUGGAAUAAUUCUUAUACCUUGUUUGAUAAAAUAUCAUUAGAUUAAAGACUUAAUAUGCAAUAAGACAUGUUUGGCAAAACUAAAUUAAACUCUUUUAAUUUAUUUUAACAAUUCCCUUAUAGCAAGGUUAUUUGUCACACUUCUUAUUAAAUUAAAUAAUCAACUUAAUCAAUUAAAAUAUUAAUCUAUUAAAUUACUUUAACACAUAAUUCAAUAUCACAUAAAUUAUAAUUUUAUUCAACCAACUAACACUUUAUUUUAAUCACAAAUUCUAAUUAAAAUACUAUAAUUCAUUUAAUCAUUAUAAGCUCUCUAGCUUACUUAUUAAAUUAAAUUAGUAUAUAAUCUCAUAACAAUUAAUUUAAUUAACUCCUUAAUUAUUUAUUCAACAAAUAAUUAACUAAACCACAUUAACUCAAAUUGAACAAUUAUUUAUUCAACCAUAAACAUAUCCAUUAAAUAUUUAUAUAAAUCAAUAAAUAUUUAAUAUUUAAUAUUUAAUUCUGGAAUGUUACAUCAUUCCCUCCUUACAAGGAUUCUGUCCUCAGAAUCACAACUCAAACAAAUCAUUCAUUACAUUCUUCCCUACUUAUAAAGAUUCUGUCCCCAGAAUCAAAGACACAGAUUAAGCAAACAACUCAGGGUAAUCUUUCAACAUUUUCUCUUCGAGUUCCCACGUAGCUUCUUCAGCGUUGUGGUUCCUCCAUAUCACCUUCACAGAAGGUAUCACUUUAUUCUUGAGCACUUGUUCUUUCCUGUCAACUAUCUGGAUAGGAACCUCUUCAUAAGACAAAUCUUUCUCGAACUGCAAUGGUUCGUACUCGAUCACGUGUUUGUAGUCUGGUUUAUAUGAUCGUAACACCGAAAUGUGAAAAAUAUUAUGAAUGUUUUGCAAUUCUGGAGGUAGGGCUACCUCAUAUGCUACCUCUCCAACUUUCCUCAGCACUUCAUAGGGUCCAAUAAACCUCGGACUUAGUUUACCCUUUUUACCAAAUCGAAUCUUCCCCUUCCAAGGAGAAACUUUUAGGAACACGUAAUUUCCUAUGUCAAAUACACGAUCUUGUCUGUGUUGAUCAGCAUAUUUCUUUUGUCUGUCUUGAGCAGCUAUCAAUCUUGUCCUGAUGAGUUGGACAACCUCAGUAGUUUGUUGUACCAGUUCUGGUUCUAACAGUUGACGUUCACCGACUUCAUCCCAGCACAGUAGAGUUCUGCACUUCCUGCCGUAUAAUGCUUCAUAAGGCGGCAUGCCGAUGCUAGCGUGGUAACUGUUAUUGUAGGCAAAUUCCACCAACGGUAAUUGUUCAUCCCAGCUUCCUUUGAAAUCCAUUACGCAUGCUCUCAGCAUAUCUUCCAAUAUCUGAAUCGUUCGUUCGCUUUGGCCAUCUGUUUGCGGAUGAUAUGCUAUACUCAUUCGCAACUGUGUUCCCAUACAUUCUUGUAGUCUCUUCCAGAAUUUAGACGUGAAUCGUGGAUCUCUAUCAGACACAAUUGAUACUGGCACUCCAUGCCUCGAAACUAUCUCUUUAAUGUACAAUCUUGCCAACUGAUCAAGAUUGAAUCUAAUCUUUAUUAGUAAAAAGUGCGCUGAUUUCGUCAGUCUGUCCACUAUCACCCAAAUCGCAUCGCAUCCCCUCUGAAUAAUUGGAAGACCCUCCACAAAAUCCAUCGUGAUGUGUUCCCACUUCCAUUUCGGUAUUUCCAACGGUUGGAGUAAUCCGCUGGGUCUUUGAUGUUCGGCUUUUACUCUUUGACAUGUCAAGCAUUUCGUUACGCAUUCUGCAACGUCCCUUUUUAUAUUCGGCCACCAAAAAUGUUGGCGCAAAUCUUGAUACAUUUUCGUGCUUCCUGGAUGAAUUGAAUAUCUUGAGCUAUGAGCUUCAGUCAAAAUUUCUUCUUUCAGCUCUGGUGUUGCUGGAACCCAAAUUCUUCCCUCAAACCGUAGUAGUCCUUCAGUAUCGAUCUUGUAUUUUACAUCACUACCCUCAAUCAGAUUCUCUUUAAUUUUCACACUCUUCAUCUUGUUGUUGAGCAUCCUUCACUUUGUCCACUAAAGUUGGACUAGCUUCUAUCUGGAAUAGUUGUUCAUCAGAUUCUUUUGGAAAUUUGAUUUCCAACUCCAGUUUUUUCAUUGCUGAAAUGUGCUCCUCCUGAGUUGUUAUCAGCAUCAACUUUUCCCGACCUUUCCUGCUUAAAGCAUCUGCAACCACAUUCGCUUUGCCCGGAUGAUAAAAGAUCACACAAUCAUAAUCUUUUAUCAAUUCCAUCCAUCUUCUUUGACGCAUGUUCAAAUCCUUUUGAGUGAAAAUAUACUUCAAACUUUUGUGGUCUGUGUAGAUCUCACAUUUCUCUCCAUAAAGAUAGUGUUUCCAUAUCUUCAGAGCAAAUACAACUGCAGCCAAUUCCAAAUCAUGAAUCGGAUACCCUUUCUCAUAAUCCUUCAGUUGUCUUGAUGCAUACGCAAUAACUUUGACGUUCUGCAUAAGAACACAACCCAACCCUUUGUGUGAGGCAUCACUAUACACCACAAAAUUUCCUGUAUUAUCUGGUAAUGCCAACACAGGUGCCACACUUAACUUCUUCUUCAAAUCUUGGAAACUCUCUUCACAUUUCUCCGUCCAAAUGAAUUUUACAGCUUUCCUUGUCAAAUUUGUUAGCGGAGUGGCGAUCUUAGAAAAAUCUUGAAUAAAUCUUCUAUAAAAACCAGCUAGUCCCAAAAAAACUCCUCACUUCUGAUGGUGUUCUUGGUUGUUCCCAAUUAAUCACAGCUUCCACUUUUGAUGGAUCCACUGAAAUCCCAUCUUUGUCAAUCACAUGCCCCAAAAAUUAUACACGGUCGAGCCAAAAUUCGUACUUAGAGAAUUUUGCAUACAACUUUUCCUUUCUUAGUGUUUCCAAUGUCAAACGUAAGUGUUCCACGUGUUCUUCUUGAGUUUUGGAAUACACUAGAAUGUCGUCGAUGAAUACCACUACAAACUUGUCUAAGAAUGGUUUAAACACCCUAUUCAUCAAAUCCAUGAAUGCAGCAGGUGCAUUGGUUAAACCAAAAGACAUCACCAGAAACUCGUAAUGUCCAUACCGAGUUCUGAAUGCCGUUCGUGGUAUAUCCUCCUUCCUCACUUUCAACUGGUGAUACCCACUUCUCAAAUCUAUUUUCGAAAAGUAUUUAGAACCCUUCAAUUGGUCAAACAAGUCAUCUAUUCUUGGCAAUGGGUAUUUGUUUUUAAUAGUGACUUUGUUUAACUCCUUGUAAAUAAUGCAAAGACGCAUUGAUCCGUCCUUCUUCUUCACGAAUAAUACUGGCGCUCCCCACGGUGACACGCUUGGUUGAAUAUAUUUCUUGUCCAGCAGCUCUUGCAACUAUACCAUCAGUUCCUUCAUAUCUACCGGAGCCAUUCUGUACGGGGCCUUCGAUAUCGGUGUUCUUCUCGGUGCUAAGUCGAUCACGAACUUAAUUUCUCUGUCAGGCGGAAGUCCUGGCAAAUCCUCUGGAAAAACGUCUUCGAAUUCCCUCACUACUGGUAUUUCUUCCAGUUUUACAUUCUUCUUCUGAGUAUCGACUAUAUAAGCUAAAUAGCCCACACAGCCUUAACUCAAAAAUUUCUUGGCCUGCAUAAUCGUCAGACAUUUCAUCUAUCUAGGCGACUUGCUACCAUAGAAUACUACCUUUGACGGAGUCAUAAGGUUUACACACUUCUUUUGGCAAUCAAUUACCGCUCCAUAUUUGAACAACCAAUCCAUUCCCAAAAUAACAUCAAACUCUCCAAGUCUAAUCGGAAUCAAAUCUACCAUAAAGAUAUUNNNNNNNNNNNNNNNNNNNNNNNNNNNNNNNNNNNNNNNNNNNNNNNNNNNNNNNNNNNNNNNNNNNNNNNNNNNNNNNNNNNNNNNNNNNNNNNNNNNNUUGUUUGAUGCUGCAGGUCCUGCAAUGGCCCAUGUACCUCCAUUGUUACCUCCAUUGCUUCUGGUAGUCACUCCAUCAUUCUUCUUAGGGCAUUCACGAGCAAAGUGAUCCUUGGAUCCGCACGUGAAGCACGCAUUCUUCUUUGGUUGAGUGCAAUUUAGGGCGAUGUGACCCUCCUGGCCAUAAUUGAAGCAAACUCGUUUCCCCAUCAAGCACGCACCCUUGUGAAAUUUCCCGCAUGUCGCACAUGCUUCAAACUUUUUGUUUUGCUGGUUACCCUGCUGGAUUCCAGGACCCAUGUUUCCAUUCCACUAUAGGCAUUUGAGGUCCCUCCUCCCUAGCCAGACUGGAUUCUCCGACAUUAGUCAUCCUGACAACAAAGUUUUAAAGUUUUAAUUAUUAAUCAUUUAUACUCGACACUCACGAGUACAUAAACUAUAAACACAUAAGCACAUAAGUGUUUUAUUACUUCUUCCUUAAAACUCGAUAAGAGUUAUCUCNNNNNNNNNNNNNNNNNNNNNNNNNNNNNNNNNNNNNNNNNNNNNNNNNNNNNNNNNNNNNNNNNNNNNNNNNNNNNNNNNNNNNNNNNNNNNNNNNNNNUUUGCUAGUCGAAGGUUCACCUACCUUCUCUUCUUUAGCUGCAAUGAGUUUAUAAAUAUGCAAGAGUGAGCAAAAUAAUUGCUCACUGGAUACAAUAUGGAAUCAACAGGAGUAUAACAAUAAUAACUGUCGAAAUAGGCUCAUCAAAAGUGAAUAGUACUCUAUAAAUAAUAAUCAGAAACUGAAAUCCCAAAAUAUGGCAAUAUACAUCACUGAGGGUCGUAAGACCAUGAACUACGUCCACAGUUGCAAGUAAUCUUUCAACUCCAACUUUAACAGUUAUAAGACUAUAAGGACCUCGUACUUAGGGGGAUCAGCCCUUCGUACAAUGUAUUGUGCAUAAACAUUUUAACGCUAUGCGUAAGUUAACCCCUAAUCAUAACAAUAGGGUUGUUCAUCUCAAUAUUUAGAGUACAAGUCCGCACCAAAGGAAGUUUGGUUUGGAAAAGCUUUAAAGGUAAUUUAGAAUUCAACGAACAUCAACUAAGAAUUAGUUGAAUAAAACCAAUAACAUUAUACUAUAGAAUAAUCGUGAUUGAAUUAAUCAUAGUAAACUAAAGUCAUGCUUUAGAAAUAAUAUAAUAGCAUACAAUUUGAAUAACUAUAAUACACCUUGCUUGAACCAUACUAAGCCAAGGUUAAUUAGAAUUGAAUACUAAGCAUGCAUAGCAAUUUGAACGAUAAAAAUGUUCGACAUUAGUAUAUAUAGUUGUGCAUGCUAAACAACAAGUUAAAUACAAGAAUAACUUGUUCGACAUCAAACCAAAGUUUAGACAGCUUGCAUCAUUAUAAGGUAAUCGAAUUGGAAAUAAUAAUUAGUUCAACAAGAUAAAGGAUUAGAAAACUUGCCUUGCUCGUAGGCUAAACCAAAUCAAUUCGAAUCACAAUACCCUAUAUAUAUAUAUAUAUAUAUACAUCAUCAUGACAUAGUUAGUCACUACCACCUUACAACUUAACUAACUACAUUCAUCAUGUAUGUUUGAUUAUUUAAUCACAUAAUCAAGUUAUAACACAAGUUAAUCUUUAAUACAUAAUUCUUCAUAGUAUAUAAAUACUAAAAUCAACAUUUUACAGUCCUACUAUCAUCACAUAACUUUUCGUAAAAUUUCGUGCUGUCAGACCAUUCUGCUAACUCGCGCUGCGGUGCCACAGUUUACACUGUGGUUGGGGCUGCGGCGCUGAGCUGGCGCUGCGGCGCGAGUCACAGGCCAAAGAUUGGCGCUGCGGCGUGGCGUCGGCGCUACGACGCGAGAUUAAUACUGUUGGGCCGCGCUGCGGCGCCGAACUCCAGAAUCUGGUGACCAAGCUCGGCAACAGUAUGAACAAAAGCCAAAUUGGCCUAAAAGCUCCAAUCUAAUAAACUAAUUAACAUGUAAUACGCAUAUAGACUUCAUAUAAACAUAUUGUGAAGACUUCUAACAUGAUUCUACCCAUAAAAUAACAUAAACAUCAAAUUUACAACACCCAAUUUUAAUGUUUUUGGCAAAUACUCCAUUUUUGAUGUUUUCAAUGAAAAUUAACACUGUGAUUUUGUUUUUCAACCAAAACAGUUAAUUCAAAAUACCAUGGUUAUGAUUAUACAUACUCUAUCAAAUUCAAUAGUCAAUUUAUAUAUAUUAACAAUUAAUCAAACCUUAAUUUUAUUUUAAACUAAGUCAUAUUCAUAUAUUUUUUAUAUGAACACUCUGUAAUAUAUCUUUCUUCACAAACUGUAUACAUACAUCAAUUCAUUGACUAUGCUCAUAUAUAAACUAAUGAAAAUAGUUUCACAACACUAAUUUAUCAUAUAAAGCCAUAUAUAACAAACAAUUUAUCAUUCAUGAAGAUUUUUACAAAGAACUUUUUUGAAGAGGAAAACUAACUAUAAAAGGAUUAAGAUCCUACCUUUGAUUAAUAAGAUGAUAGUUAUCUUGGAUUCUCAAACUUCUUUUCUCAAUUUCUUUCUCAAAUCCUCUCUAGAAUCCCUCAAGUUCUCUAUCUUUUCUUCUUUUCUUUCUUCUUCUUCUUCUGAGUUUCUCUUCUCCCAACUCUAGUUUUCGUAUUAUCAUAUAACGUAUAAUAAUAAUAAUAUAGAUAUUUAAGUAUAGGAUUUUAACUGACAUCAGUUAUAAAAUUUUGAAAAUCAAAAGCCAUAAGGCUUGUUUGGCUAGUUAACUAAAAAUUAACCCAUUAACCCUUACACCUUGUUUAGUAAACCUAAUUAAAACAAAAAGAUUAAUUCUUAUACCUUGUUUGAUAAAUUAUCAUUAGAUUAAAGACUUAAUAUGCAAUAAGACAUGUUUGGCAAAACUAAAUUAAACUCUUUUAAUUUAUUUUAACAAUUCCCUUAUAGCAAAGUUAUUUGUCACACUUCUUAUUAAAUUAAAUAAUCAAUUUAAUCAACUUAAUCAAUUAAAAUAUUAAUCUAUUAAAUUACUUUAACACAUAAUUCAAUAUCACAUAAAUUAUAAUUUUAUUCAACCAACUAACACUUUAUUUUAAUCACAAAUUCCGAUUAAUACUAUAAUUCAUUUAAUCAUUAUAAGCUCUAUAGCUUACUUAUUAAAUUAAAUUAGUAUAUAAUCUCAUAACAAUUAAUUUAAUUAACUCCUUAAUUAUUUAUUCAACAAAUAAUUAACUAAACCACAUCAACUCAAAUUGAACAAUUAUUUAUUCAACCAUAAACAUAUCCAUUAAAUAUUUAUAUAAAUCAAUAAAUAUUUAAUAUUUAAUAUUUAAUAUUUAAUUCUGGAAUGUUACAGUGGCACUCAACAAUUUAUCAGAUUCUCACAGCUUUCCAAAAUAUGUCCAAGAAUGAAAAUCAUGGAGUCCAGACUGGUGGUCAACAAAAGCCUGCCCAACCACAUGACUAAAUUCCUACGAAGCAGGAGUUAUUGAAGAAUUUUGAUGAACUGGUUGAGAAGAUAUCUAUCAUACUGAAGAGUCAAAGAUGUUGACAGAGGCAGGAGACAAUGCAGUUCAAAACAGACUUCAACCCACUAUGUCUGAUAUAUCUCUCAAAAUCAAAGAGAGAGAUCAAAUCUAUCUGAAGGCUAUAAAUGAUCCGAAUGUAGAAGCUCUACGAGCACAGAAGGCUAAUGAAGAGCAAAUUAUAUCCCUCUCUGACAAGAUUGACAAUCUGAAUCAGUCUCUCUCCCUACAACUUGAGCUGAGCCAACAAGAACUUAAGAUUGAGGUUGGUAACUCAUCUUACCUGAUGGAGCAACUUAUGUCCAACAUGGAGCAACUAUCACAAGUGAUUAAUGACAAAAAAGGGGGAGAAAAAGAGACAUAGAAAGAAGCACUCAAGGAGGAGCAAGGAGAAAAGAAGACAAGAAGGCCAAGAGAAAGGCAAAGAAGAAGAUAGCAGCAGCAGAAGUAGAAUCAUCAUCUGAGGGGGAACCAAAGGAUGAUGAUCCUAUGAAUGCAGAGUUUGAGGGGGAGCCAGAAAAAAAAAAGAGCAUGAAUCUGAGGGGAGUAAAGGAAAAGAAAUGGAGUCACCAUCCCAGGGGGGAGAAGGAGGAAAAAGACUAAGUAGAUAAGCAGCUGAUCAACAUACAUCCUGGAAACAUAUAAGGAGCCAAAAAGGUACAUCUCUAACUAGUUAGGUAUAUUCUGGAUCCAGGAUGCAAUGUGUCAUAGCUUAUGUAAUUCCAAAUUAUUAUCAAUGACAUUCAUAAUUAUCUGUUUUAGAAAUACAACAGCUCACUGUAUAUAAGAUUCAUUCAUCUGAUGCAUAUGCUAUAAUUGUUUUUGUCAUAAUCAAAUAGGGGAAGAUUGUCAGGAAUAAACAUGUGAAUGUUAUUCCUAUUUAUAUAUGAUUUGAUUAUGAUAUAUAUAUAUAUAUGAAUUAAUAUGCAAGUAUGCUUGCAUUAAGAAAAGCUGUAAAGUCCUUUGAUAGAUAAUAGGAAACAUAUGUACAAGGACUUAGAAUGAAUUGAUCAAAUAUGUUAGCUUGAUCCUACAUAAGCAAAACAACUUUGUAAAGUCCUUAAAAAGAUAUGAGGUAUAAGGACUAUAAAAGUAGAAAGAUCAAGCUUGUUAGGUUGAUCUUAUAAUGUAAUAGAUAGGCUUGUCUGAUCGUCGAGCACUGCACCAGAAACCGUAGUCUGCCAGGAGAGUCGGGGAAAACUCGAGAACUAUCGAGGCAGAAUCGUAGUCUGCAAGAUAGUAGAUCUCGGACUUCGUAGACUGCCAGGAGAGACGAUGAAGGAUUGUAGUGUGUCGAGAAGAACUUCCUCGAAGCCGUAGCCUGCUGAAGAAGUCAUGUUUAGAAUCGUAGAGACAGCCUGUCUACGAGCUGACCGAGCAUCUUCCGAAGCCAAGUCAAGAAUUGUAGACUACACUCGAAGUCGUAGAGUCUACUUAUCACAUAAGAGGCAGAGAUCGUAGUCGAGCAAGAUCAGAUGAAGACAACGAGCAUAAAGUCAAAAAUCGUAGAGUGUCAAGAUCUGAUCUCGGAGUCAUAGUGUCUGCACCAUCAAAGCUGAAUUGUAGAGUGCAGAAAUAAGACUUCAACAGAAGUGCUCACAACGCCAAGAUAGAAUUGUAGAGCAAAUAUGACUCUCAACAAAUGAGCACUCCCAGAAUAUCCAAAGAAAUGAAGCCUCUAGUCUAAGCUGCAAAGAUACAUUCCACCUAAAGAAAACCAGAGAGCACUCAACGAAUGACAUGUAAUCUAACAGAAGAUCUAAGCGUCAACCCAAUCAACAUGCAAACUAUUAGCCAAUGUGGAUGCAAAAAGAAAACGUGGAUCUACCAAAGAAGGUUGUACUGCAAGAAUUGUAGUGGUUAAAAGAAAUGACUUGUAUGUAGUUACCAUAACUGAGGAGGGCCAUUGUCAACCUCACAUAAGAGACAUCUUUUACGAUAGCACCGUAAUGAGUCUGCUGCCCAAAAAUGUUUGAGCCAACAACUUGGCAUGGUGAAUAUAUCACAAUGCCAACAAUAUAACUUUCUCGCAGUGUAGGCGGGAGAGAUUCAAAAUAUUGGUUUCACAAACAAAAUUUGUAUAACUUUGAAAGAGACAAUUGUAAUGAGCUGAAGGGACAAGAUGGCGAUAUGUUGAAUGAGUACGUGAAGUUAGAACAACAAAAGAAUCCUUCAUUCACUUUUACAAUCGACACAGACAAUGAAAAAAAGAAUACUCGUUGUUUUUGGGCCGAUGCAACUUCUAGAUGGGCUUAUAGAUUUUACAGCGAUGUUGUCUUUUUUGAUACCACGUACAACACUAAUUGUUACGGAAUGAUAUUUGCACCACUAAUGGGGGUUAAUAACCAUGAUCAAACUAUUGUAUUUGGUUGUGCUUUCUUAAGUGAUGAGACCAUAGAUACUUUUGGAAUCCAGUGCUUAUUAUAAAGAGUUUUCAGAUUGCAUUUGGAAUUCAGAGAUUGUGGAAAAGUUUGACUCCACUUGGGUGGAGUUAUUGGAGAAAAGUGGGUUGACUACUAAUUAAUGGCUACAAUCAAUGUAUGACAUCUUUUAUAGAUGGGUAUCCGCACAUGUGAAUUAUGUUUUCUCAGUCGGCAUGUCAAGUAGUCAACGAGCGGAGAGUUUUCAUUCGUUUUUCAAAAGAUUUGUUUCUAAAGAAAAUUCAUUAGUGGAUUUUAUGAUUCAAUUUGGUCGAGGCCUUCAACAUCAAUGACAUGUAGAGUUGGAAUCAAAUAACAAAGAUUUGAUUGAGAGACCGAAAAUGAAAAAUAUCAAACCCUUCUUAAGUCAAAUGGUUGACAUUUAUACAUACUCUAUGUAUUAUAAAAUUGAAGAUGAGUUGUGUGAGACCUUGAAUUAUAAGUUUGAACUUAUGAAGGAGGAUGUCAACUACCAUGUAUAUAAGAUUUGUCGAAGGAAUGUCGACAAGUGUAAUGUAAGUGAAAUUCAUUAUGACAAAUCUUGGGAUUAUACAACAUGCACUUGCAAAAAGUUUGAGAGUUUGGGAAUCCUAUGUCGACAUGUACUAGCUUACUUGAAUAAGAAUCAUGAUCUUGACAAGUUGCCUACAAGAUACAUUUUAAAGAGGUGGACAAAGACAGCAAAAUCAAGUUGUGUAAUUGAUGAUAAUGGUGUGGUGAUAAAAGAUGACAACUCAUACUUACUCUUGCGAAGUCAAUUGAUUCAACGUUCUUUAGAUUUGAUUGAUAGUGCUCUCACAAAUGAAGAAGCCACAAAUGUAUUAAAAGAAUGUCUAGAUAAUGGAUAUGAAAAGAUCAAACAAAUUAUUGGGAAGAAUGAUUUCGAAAGAAAUAAGGAAAUGGAGUGUGGUGGAAUUAGUGUAUCAAAGUCAGUUAACAUGACUUCUACUUAUGAACAUAGUUAUAUUGAGCCGAACCAUGUGCGAGCAAAAGGGUGUGGCAAAAGGCUGAAGGGUGGCAAAGAACGGGCUUUGGGGAAAGUAAAAAGUGCCAAGACUAGACGUUGUCAUGCAUGUGGCAAAGUUGGGGUGACAUACGAUAAAAGAAACUGUCUGAAGCUUAAUAAUCUGUAAGCAAGUUUACUUAUUUUGACUUUGUUAUUUGUUUAAAAUUGACUUUGGUAUUUGUUUAAAUUUGACUUUGCUAUUUGUUUAAAUGUAGAACUGGAGCAUCAAAUGAAUGAUGCUACUCAGAAUCCAAGUGUAGAUAAUGAUGAUAUUGAUUCUCCCCCAGGUACAACUGAGAUUGCUAUAACCACUCAUUAAAUCUAAAUUCUGAGGUAAUGGUAAUACUCAUUUGUUCAAACUGGAUUUUUAUCUCUUUUUUUGUUCGUCACUGCAAUAUGUUUCUUCUUUCUUUAUAUAUCCAUUCAUGUUUAGGAUUGCAUCUAUCCUGUCACAUGGUGUACUUAGCUUUUAGUUCCUGUUUCUUUCUGAUUGCAUUAUUGUUGUUUAGGAUUGGUGUACUUAGUUUUUAGCUUUAAGUUCCUGUGGUAUUUUUUUCCUUAAAAAGGAUUAUCUAGGCACAGAUUACAUUACUGUUGUUUAGGAUUUGGGGGGUUUAACUUCAUGAUGGAUUUUAAUGUAUAAUAUGUCAAGUCAUCAAGUGUUCUUUAAGCUUUGCAUUUGUACAAGAACUUCAAUGCAUUAAGCUUGUUAACUAAUGUUUCUGUGGUUGAUUAUAUUCCUGUGAAUAUAUCAUAGACAUUUUCCAAAAUGCUGAUGCUACUUGAACAUUAUUAGGCUACUGCUUCUUGCAGAAAGGAACAUAAUUAAAUCAUAUCUCACUUAUUUUCAAUGUAUUUAAAUGAACAGGACGCCAAGGGACUCUCAAUGGCAAGGUUUGUAACGUGUACUCAGCUGGAGGAACCGCUUUUACGUGGCUGUGAACUGGGCAACCACAUUAGUGUUUGGCAGAGAUAAUUAAUUGAAUUAUGAUCUUAUAUCUUCUUCUAGGUCUUGUUCAGUUGUCUGUCUACAUUGUCUCUUCCAGGCAAUAUGAAAUGACUGGUACUGGAAUUAAUAUUCUUUGUCCAGUGUAUUCAAAUGUUGUUUUGCCAAGAAUGGAAAGAAAGCAACCCUGAUUUUCAGUGGCCUUGAGUUUGGGUUUGGGUUUGGGUUUGGGUUUGGGUUUGGGUUUGUUUUGGUGGCCAAGAAUUGGAUCCCUCUGUGACUUGGUUCUUUUUGUGGUCAUCAUUACAUAAGCUUGCCCAUGUUUUUCUAUAUUUAUGAAUAUAAUUCUAUUUUUUUCUUUCUUUUAAACUUGUGGUAUAUGCAAUGUUUCUCUUCUCCAAAUUAGUAACUGAUAAUCAAGCAACUGUAGUUGUGAAUGGAAGAAGUCAGUCACAUAGUUCAUGAUCAGUCACAUAUCAAAUUGUCGUUUAACAGCUCCUUCAUCUAAUUUUUCACCAGAAGCAACGUCCGCAUCAAUGGCGUGUAAGAGAAUGUCAAUUUUUUGGGAGGCAGCUAACAUGAGUUAUUGACAUCAGCUGAAAUGCUGGAGGCAUGCAAUACACCAUCACUAAAUGGAAAAAUAUUAGACUUUAGAGGAGCGUGCAGCGUGCUUUCAUAAACAGCUCACAUCACUAAAUUCUUAUUGCAUGGUUAAAAUUCCAUUUAUUAGAAAAUUUUAAUACUAAAUAUUUCAGCAAAAUCAACCAGGCAAGCUAAGAGGGUUCCAUCUGGAUCUUACAAUAUUGAACUUUAAAUAAGGAGUAAAGAAAUUUUCUCUUGUUUGGUCACACAUUUUCACAAAAUUUUGCUUUCCAGUGUAAACAAUUAUCUCCAAACAAAGUGGAACCUAGGUAUGGAAGCUAAGCACAAACAUACAUGUGCAUAGUUCUCUCUACUUCAUUAAGUUCAUGCCAUGAAGGAAUUUUCCAAAAGCUAAUUGACGAUUACGUCAAAAUUGGUCCUGAGAAUUGACUGUAAGAUGCUUUUAUCGAGUGUCCAUAAGCAGAUACAUUUGCAGGAACACCAAUCUGAAAGUGAAACUGAACCAGAACCAGAGCCAUAUAUACUAGGCUUAAAUAUAUUUUACUACCCUAAACUAUCUGUAUAUUCUACUUUGGUGAUUCACCUUUAAAUUUUUUCAAUUAGAUGAUUGAACUACUGAUUUUUUCAAUUUCAUCCAAUUAAAACUGUCACAUUAGAAAUUGCUGACGUAUCUAUUUGGGCGGGCCAUAAAUGAGCUGAUGUGUGUAAAAAAAUUAUUUUUUAUUUUGAGAUUAAACAUUAUUGAUAUAUUGAAGGGUAAAAUAGUCAUACCCCUAACAUUAAUACACUCAGACUAAAUAAAAAACAUCAAAACCCUCAAAACUAUCAGAAUCAAUCGAAGAAAUGCCCAAACUCUUGUUCAUCAAAACCCUCGUGCUUCUUACCCAGAUUGUUGUUCCUCUUUGACUAAAAAGAAAAAAACACAAAUCCUUGUUCAUCAUCUUUAGAUACCCAAACCACGACAAAAAAAGAAAACAAAACAAAAAAGUACCAAAUGUUGAUCUUCACAUCCAACGACCAGAACAUCCAAGUCCAACUAUCCACAUCUCUACAAUCUUAAUCUGACACCAUGAAACGUGACACAAAUCUCUCUCUCUCUCUCUCUCUCUCUCUCUCUCUCAAGUGAAGUCACAAUGGUAUUAGGAAGAGUGUAUAUAUUGUAUGUAUUAUGGGAGAACACAUCUUUUGUCCCAAAUUUUUUUGUUUAUUUGUGUCCUUCCACUUAAAUUUUGAUACUUAGUUUCUUACUUAACAUUAAUUAAUUUUAAAAUUAAAUAAAAAAACACGUAUCAAAAUUUAAGUGGAAAAACACAAGGAAACAAAGAAUAGAGGAUCUGCUCUCGUAUUGUGCAACACAAGCAAACCACAUGCGUAAAAUGUCUAGAUACUACUCCCCCCCUAUAUUAAUCAUUUUAUUUUUUUUAAGUGCGACGAAGGUUAUCUAUCUCUGUGACAGCACCGGUGAAUUGUAUGCAUCAUCAGGUUUACAAAACUUUAGCCCAAUCUUUGAGAUUCAAUUGCGAUAAUGGGAUAAAUUUGUAGACGCCAAAAGAUGACGAUGAGCUCAACAAUAGUCUUUAAUGGCGGAUCUUCUUCCUGGAUUUCCGACAAAUUGGAGGCUCUGAAGAGCCGGAUACCCUUCCAAAACAACGGCGAAGUAAACGCCGAAAAAUUCCAUGAAACGGCCGACUACAUUCUGCUUCUCCGAACACAAGUCUCAAUUUUGCAGGAGCUUGUUGAUUUUUACGGGUCUGGUACUACUAAUACCCAAAUAAAUUAACCAUGUACAGUAAUUUUUGUCAUUGUCAACAAAUUAAUGGAGAGAAUUUAAAGGAAUAGGUGGUUGCUCUGUAUUUCAGCUAUAUAAGUAGUUGGACAUUCAGGGUUGUAAUAUACGAGUCACAAAGUCGGAGCCGUGGAGGAGGAGGAGGCGGUGGAGGAAGAGGAGAGAGAAAUAACGAAUUUUGAUUUUCUGAGACUAGGGUUUGUGAAUGUAUUAAUUAAAGUUUUGUGCCUAAUUUACCCUUCAGUGUAUAACUAAUGUUUAAUCUCAAAAUAAAAUGUAUUUAUUUUUUUACACAUCAGCUACUUUAUGCCGCCACCCAAAUAGUCACGUUAGCAAUUUCUGACGUGACAGUCUCAAUUGGAUCAAAUUAAAAAAAUUUAAUAAUUCAAUCACCAAAAUAAAAUAUGUCAUAUAGUUUAGGAUACUAAAACAUAUUUAAGCCUAUAUACUAUACGUCAUUCCUACCGCAAUAGAAAAUAAAGAUAUGCAUUGGACAGCAGAAAUAUUUCCCUCUUGUGACGGCCUUUACAUAAUUAUAAGAAAUAAUUACCAACCCAACACGAACAAAUGAUAUUUACCUGAACAUUUCCCCUUCUGAACUAUAGAAUUGAUCAAACACAAUCAAGUUAGAUUCAAAUUUCAGUUAUAAUAUACACACAUUAGCAUCUUUAUAAUUAGCUUGGAAAGGACUACUCCACUUAAAAGCAGGUCAUCACCAAACAAAUGAACAUAAUUAAAGCUUCCAAAACCUGCGAAUGCAAAACUGCAAACUUAUGAAGGCUGAGAAAGGUGAUUCCAUAAUUAUAAUUUUCUUAUUCAUUUAAAUAUAUAACUUUACCUAAAUAUAGUCAGACUAUCAGAUCCUGUCCAAUUUGCCUUUUCUCAUUUUUUAUACAUACUACAUGAGUAAGUCUCUCCCAGUUUGCUUGCUUUCUUUUUAGAUGAAGCACCUCGUGGGGGAGAGAGGAGAAGAAUAGAGUAUAAAAGUGGAGCACAAGGAGUCCACCCUAAAAAUAUAAGUAGAUAAAACAAAGAAAACCCUCUGAAAAGUACAAUUUAGAAAGCAUUAAUUUGGAAUUGGGUGAAAAUCACAAGCUCUUACUACAAUGGAAUAUACAAUACAUCUUUUUUAUGUUAUCAACAUUGCUAUAUGUAAAAAAAAAAUAAACGCUUUUGAGUAGUUACAAUACAACAAGCAACAAGGAUCGAAUAUGCAGUUUAGGAGACACCAUCUUGGUCAGUAAAACCCUUUUUGUAAACCACAUGAAUUUAGCAUACACAGGCUCAAGUUGUCAAUGAAACAGUUAGAUUAAGGUAUUCAAUAACAAUAUCACAUAUGCAAUAAGGUUAGAUUCUAGAAGGUAACAACCCAAAUAACAAUAUUUACUCCAUCUUGGUUUACAACAAGCUAUACUAAGUUUAAUUAACCCAAAUGACAAUAUUUACUCCAUCUUGGAUAAGGUUACAACAAACUAUACUAGAAGUUUAAUCAACCCAAAUAACAAUAUUUACUCCAUCUACCAAGAACAAACAAGUGGAGUAAUAAAUUUUAUUCUUCACAUUUUGCCUAUUGCAUGCAUGUUCUCCAUCUCUUGCUUCAUUCCGUUAAUCUUUCGAAGUAAUCCGGAAAUUAUUUGUCUUGAUCUAUCACACAUUGGAGGAUCAUACAAAGCAAAAAACUGACAAGCAUUCCUCUGUAAACAAAGAAGUUUUCAAUUUUAUGUGCAAGUAAAUUGAAUGGAAGAGAUAUAUAAAAAAAUUGAAACCCUAACACACUUACUUUUCCAUAAUUCGGACAUGAUAAAAUCAUUCUUCCUGGGUUUGAAUCGGUCCAUGUUGUUUUAAGUUGAGCUCGCCUCUCACAAUCACAAUGUGCGUUCAUGGCUGCUCAUAUCCUUCCUAAAAUCAUUAUUCCGAGAACUAAAUUCGAGAAAUUAAAUAGUACUAGAAGUCCUAAAUUUCGAAUUGAAGAGACGUGAGCAUGAGAAUCAAUUAAAUAUGAAAAUUAAUUGGGCCGUUAAGGAGAUGUAUCUGUAGUUUAAAAGACAUUCAACCUAACGAAGUUCCUAUGUUUCUCAAUAUAAAGUCCAGUCCAAUUAGAGAUGUGAUAUAAACUAAACUAUAACUACUAUUUAACUCAUCCAAUUUGUUAAAAACAAGUUCGGGAAAAUGUUUUAGCAACCGAUUUUUUUUUUGAGAAUUUAUGAUGCAGUUGUAUCCCUUCAAGUGAUCCCUGCAGGAAUCCUUGGAACCUAUUUUCAUUUGAAUUUAUUUACAUUUUUUAUAAGUUCAUGUCCACAAAUAUAUGUUUUUGGAUCAAGUAAAACAUAGGAUAAAUAAAUUUUCAUUUGAUAUUAUCUACUAAAAUAAUCUUUUAGGAUCAUCAUCCAAAAUACUUGAAUCUUUCUAAAACUACCUGCUCCAACCUCGAAUUCCUAUUUGAUGAGCUCUAUUUUUCCUUGCUUUCUACAUUCAACAUAGCUACUAUUAAUAUUUCUAUUCAAUAGUUAUAAUUUGCAGUAAAUAUUUAAACCCCAAUACAUAUACCAGGUUAUUUCCUCAACCUCCUAACCCCUGUAAAUAUUUGAAAACAAAUAAAUACUUCAUACUCAAAUAAACAUCCAUAAACACACCUUAGAAUGUUAAACCUGCCUUGCAUCACCCACCUCCAGUAAGUAUGCACAUCCUCCACUAAACAAAUUAUAAACUUUACAAAGGAAAAUCCCUAAAACUGAAACUAUUGUCAACUCAAAACAAAGGAAAAUUCUUGAAUUCAAACUAUUGUCAGCUCAAAAUAAAGGAAAAUCUCUAGUACUCAACAAAACUUUCAUGAAUUGAACUGGGUCAAAAUUAUUGAAAACCAAAACAAAAAAAUCCAAAAUUUUAAGCAUAAUUCAACACUAACAAAAUGCAGAAACCCACUUCAAAUUUUCUCAACAGUAGACAAUUCAAGCAUCAAAAAGACCAGACAACAUUAUUAAGAGUAUAUAUUAAUCGAACACUGGAACGAGAAGAAAAAAGAGGGGGGUUUGUUGCUCUGACCCAAUUGGAACGACUAGAUGGCCGGACGAGGUUUGGUGAGCCGUGCAGUGAAUUGAGCGAACGAAAGAAGAAAUAAGGGUCGAAUUUAGGAGAUCUGCACUGCACGGGGUUUGGUGAGCCGAACGAAAUCGACGAGAGUGAAUUGAGCUAAGGUCUCGUGUGUUAUUUUGGAUGUUCAGAGUGCGAGGAGAGAGAAGAAAUAAGGGUUUUGUUUGUUUUGGCUGAUCAGGGUGCGGGAGAGAAAAAAUUUGGGUCUUAUUUAUAGGUGAGUUGGGUGAGUAAGAUAGUGGCUAAUCGGGUAUGAUAUAUAUAUAUAUAUAUAUAUAUAUAUAUAUAUAAGAUGUAAACGCACCGGAUUUGCUAUCCAUGCUCAAUCAAAUUCGAGUUCGAUGAUAUAUAUAUAUAUAUAUAUAUAUAUAUAUAUAUAUAUUAGUAGAAAUCUGAAAAAUCUUACAGUGGGCUGCCAAGGACUUUAGAUAGCUUUUGAUGCCUGAAAACUCGGUUUCUGUGACGUCCCCAAAAUAAGUAUAAAUCACUCAUUCUGAGUCGUCAAAUACAUGGUACAGAACUUAAAUGCAAACUUCAUUUAUACAAUACGACAAAACGUAGCUGAAAGUUUUAACACGGAUAGUCUCGUAUAUUGUCUCGUAGACAAUAUCCAAACUCAAAUGGAGUUUGCAUUAUAAUUAUAAUUACACUACUUCACAGAAUAGUGAGGACUACUAAAUCAACAAUCUGGACCGUCACUCCAUUCCCCGACUAGUCCCAACUAUAUUCUGAUUUCCUAAAGAGAACAAUGAAAGCAAAUGGUGAGCUCAACUAACCCAGUAAAGAAUAUUAUAACUAAAAUAAUGGAGAAUAAAUUAUCGUUAGCCUUCAACAGUAUAACAACUAAUAUAAUACAAUAGACGACAAGUUUUAGAUCAACUGCAGCGGAAAUAACAAUCCAUUAGAAGAGUCAAGUAGAACAUGAUAUCUACUAUCUUCUAUGAUUUAAAAGUUUAUCAUCAAUUUUAUCGCUGAAACUUGGCUCAAUAAAUAAUUCACAUCACUGAAUUAUCCAUGCACUGCGGGCCAAGAAUAUUCAUUAUUAUCACAUCCACAAAUCAUUCAUGCACUACGGGCCAAGGAUAUUCGUUAUUAUCAUCAAUGGUCAUGACCAUGCCAAACAACAAUUCAUUUUUUGCACCCUUGACCGAAGAGAACGCAUGGUCAUGAUCAUACCAACUGUCCAUCAAUGCACUACGGGCCAAUGAGGACUUACCACAUCAUUUGUAACAUUACAGGUCAUGAUUAUACCGAUACAUAAUUCCUGGUCAUAAUCAUACCAAUCAACAGUUCAUCUAUACACUACGGGCCAAAGAUAAUUUUUAUCACAAUAUAAGCAUGAGGAUGAUGACAAUGAUAUAAGCAUCAAUCAAACGAAAUCAAGGAUAAAUAUUAAAGACUUUAAAUUUAUCCAGAGUUUAAAAAUGUCCAAAUUGUCAUCAUGAUAACUGCUUUGUGGAGUAAAAUUCAAGAAUAAUAUUGUAUCAAAAAUAAUUUGGACAGAAAAGAAAUCAAUUUAUGUCAUGAAUAGUACCCCAGUGAAUAGUACCCGAGUGAAUAGUCCUUCGUGAAUAGUACUUCGUGAAUAGUGUCAUACGUAUGAAUAGUAUCCAUGAAUAGUACUCCGGCAUGAAAAGCUUAAAAUUUAACAAUAAUGUUCAGAAAAAUAUCCUUGUGAAACUAUACUAGAUAAAGCGCAAAUUUCAAGUAUAUUCUACUAAUUUCAAGGAGUAUAGAAGCAAUAUUUAACAAAAUGACUGUAGAAUUAGGAAUAUAAAACGAAAUAAUAUUACUUACAUACUACAGAGUAUGGAAGAAAUUAUUUCUUACGAAUAUUGAACAAAAAUAAUAUCACUUACAACUGUUGAACGAAAAUAAUAUUCUUUACGAAUAUUAAACGAAGAUAAUAUUUCUACAAAUAUUGAACGAAAAUAAUAUUCCUUACAAAUAUUAACGAAAAUAAAAUUUCUUACGAAUACGAAAAAUAAUAUCGUAAGCGAAUAUGAAAUAAAUAAUACUUCUUACUACUGUUGAACGAAAAUAAUAUUCCUCGAAUAUUAAACGAAGAUAAUAUUCCUUAGAAACAUUGAACGAAAAAUAAUAUUCUUUACGAAUAUUGAACGAAAAUAAAAUUUCUUACAAAUACGAAAAAUAAUAUCAUAAGCGAAUAUGAAAUAAAUAAUACCCCUUACCUUAAAAAGAAAAGUAUUCCGACUGGUAUAGCGGAGAUAUUCUUGAAAAAAACUUGCAAUGUUUUCUACACUCAAAACUUUCUUAAACUCUAAAGAAAUACGCUCAAUAUUAUAGAAGAAGAAUUCUCUGAUUCUGGUGUGAUUUUCAAUUCUAAACUAAGCAUCCUAUUUAUAGGAGAAUCGCAGGAUACUAUUUGGAUCCACAAUAAGGAAAAAAUCACAGACUGCACAGUAACUUAUUCACGGAUUUCUGACGAAUUUUCUGAUUUUACUAUGCAGCACUAUGCAAACACUAUACAAACACCAUGCAUAAUAAAUUAAAAUAUAUUCUAUUUUUCAUAAAAAAAUAAAACUUAUUAUAAUAUAUAUAUAUAUAAAUAGNNNNNNNNNNNNNNNNNNNNNNNNNNNNNNNNNNNNNNNNNNNNNNNNNNNNNNNNNNNNNNNNNNNNNNNNNNNNNNNNNNNNNNNNNNNNNNNNNNNNAAAUACUUAAUAAAAAUCCUCUCUAUUUAUCUCAAUUCACUUGGCUUCACAAAAUAUAUUUUUAAUAAUAUUUAUCAUUAAUAUUAUAACUCACAAUAUUAACCAGAUCAUUCUCAGAAAAGAGGGGGCUUUCCAAUAAGAACUUCUCCUUAUUGACGCGCAAUUAGGUGACCAAACCCCUUUCCUCGACAGAAUUUUCUAGACCUCGUCAAUAAUGCAAAUAUUAAUAUGAAUAACUUUGUCGUUUCAAUUAUUGAUUUAAUAAUAUAAAAUAUUGUGAUAAUAAUUGAAUCAAUAACGUAAAAUACUAUGCAGCAAUUACUGUGGCAAUAAUUGAGUAUAACUGAAUGACUUCUCACGUAAACAUCAAAUAUCGUGUGCUACUAUGCAACGCGUAUUACUGUAUUUUUAUCACCGGGUAUUUCAACAGUUAACGAUAAAACCUUAGCUUUUAUUUUUAUAAAAAUUUAUUUCUGUCGUUUUCUAACUCCAACAGUAAUUCCGUUGUGAGGUCCACCAAUGAUUGUGUCAUCGUACGAAUAUUCCUUGAUAAAACGAAAAUUCCCCGACCAAACGAAUAUUUUAUAACUUGCUUACUUUGCAAAAUUUGUAAAUAUUACUCACAACUAUAACAUUAUAUCAAAUCCACACCUUAUUAUUCAAAAUAAUAUUUAGAAAAAAUUAAAUCUUUAUUCAUAAAAGUUGGGGUCUUACAGUUUCCACCGGUUAAACUUCAGUAUGUUACAAAACACGAGCUCAGUUUAGAGCACGCUAGUAGGGGUUACAGGCCGAAAUGGACAGAGUUUUCUCUCUUUUUUCCUUUUUUUUCAAAUGAGAUAUAUAUAUAUAUACAUAUAUAUAUAUAUAUAUUUACAUUUCUGUCAAGCCUGGAGUUUAC
RNAcentral lists this long non-coding RNA (27358 nucleotides) under Panax ginseng (ginseng). RNAcentral's name for it is "long non-coding RNA (PGIN_LNC016417)". Lineage: Eukaryota; Viridiplantae; Streptophyta; Magnoliopsida; Apiales; Araliaceae. The record is from RNAcentral.